UCCUCCAAUGGCGCUCCCUCCCUGGCUCGAGCCCUAGGGCCGCCGCCGCCUGGCACCACCUACGGCCGCGGUCGCUGUUGGCAGCACCUUCCGCCUCUGGUGGCUAUCGAAGCCAGGCACCAGCUGCAGCUCCAGCUCCAGCUCCACCUCGGCCCCUCCUCCCCACCCACGGUUGUGGGAAUCCAUACCUGAAGUUGGGGGUUGAUGAUGUGAAAUGGCGGCGUCACGAGCCAGAAGGUCACCACUGAGACCAUAAGCAGCCCAGCACCCAGCGCCCAACAACAGCAAUCCAACAUAUAUGCACAUAACAAGUAUGAGCGGACACACGCAUGAGCAAGCAUGGGAAUAGAAAUGGAUAGCCGUGCUGAGAUGGUUCUUGGGCGUACCUGUGGUGCGGGGAGCGCCGGUCAGCCCGGCGGACCUUUGACAUAAGCACAAUGCUGGAUCAGACACACGCACAGUCGUUGGCGUGUGUGCUGGAUACAAGCAACCGGCGCGCCUUGGUCGCUUGGCCUAUCCAUCAGCAUUAUAUCUCCUUCAUCAAUUAUUUUCUCAUAUUCUUUAUGAUGAAGGCUAGGAACUAUGCUAAAAUAUACAUAUGUCUUAGUUGUUGCUUUUCUUAAUGCAGAUAUGGAAGAUCUAAAAGCCUCUGAAAGAUUUUUGGUUCUGCAGAAGCCAAUGAUCUGGCACACUGAGACCUUAAUUUCUGGAGUGAACGACUGCAGGAAUCAAAAUACAAUGUUGAUGAGAUAACUACUUCUGGUUAGGCCGGGGAAAUAAAAAGGGUAACCGUAGAUAUAUGGUCUAGCAUCACGAGGUUCAGGUUCCUGCUGUUGAUCAACCGUUGCUUCGGUCGAGCCAAGAUGAGUGCUCUACACUUACGUCUCAUGCUAACUGAAUUGGUGAUGUUUAUUUCUUCACCUCGAUUGACGCCGCAUGUUCCCGCUGCUUCUCGGCGGGCACAUCUGAAUCGUGGAGCGUGAACUGGUCAUAGCGAACUGGCCUGUUUGGCAGAAAAGACAAUUUUUUUGUGGCUACCAGUUACAGGUGUACACAAGAUGCUUACAAUUGAGCGGUCUACACUACACAAACCAUCAUUUUGGUCCUUUAUACAUACAAGAGGCGAGCGAGGACACAUACAUACAUUCGACCGCCAAUAAUUCAACUGUCGGUUAUCAAUUGGCUGUGUGUAUCUUGUUUCAAUUGGCAAUGGUGCAUAUACAUUUCACACCAAGGGCGAUGUAGAAAUGCAAGAACAGAAGCUUUGCGAGGUGGUUGUUGAUGAGUCAUGUAAGGAUGGUGCAGAACUCACAAGAGGGAAAAGACCGAACUGCGGUAACCAAAUCAAAUAGCUGAUAAGGUUCACUUGGAAGUGGUUGAGGUAGCCUGACCUGGUGAGACCUGGUGACGCGAUGCAUACAUCGGAGGAAGUAGAUCUGUGAGUGCGGGAGUGGAUCUUGCAAUUGAAGUCGUGUCUCCGAUGCAGAGUAGCAGCGGCGAUGUGGUGGAAACUACAGGGUGAGUGAGAGAUUGGAGGAGGGGAUGGUCAUGAAGUAAGUGGAUUAACAUCGUCUGGUCAAGUAACUUGGGCCAGCCCAUUAUUGUGAAUCUGUCAUUUGUCUUCUUGUAAGCCCACAACACGGUUUAAAUAUGUAUUGGGAGUUUCAAGUUUGGGACAACUAAAUCAGAUAAAUGAACGAAAUUAUAACGCUUAUAACGGUUUAUAAAAUGAAGUAACAAAGUGCAUAUCCAAGUUUAGUUUUCUUGGAAUGUGAUUGUUUGUUA
Long non-coding RNA from Triticum dicoccoides, 1785 nucleotides. RefSeq lists it as uncharacterized. The transcript is spliced from 9 exons. Lineage: Eukaryota; Viridiplantae; Streptophyta; Magnoliopsida; Poales; Poaceae. The record is from RefSeq and is a predicted model, not a curated record.